Molecule: ribosomal RNA, 253 nt
Filed under: uncultured bacterium
Lineage: Bacteria
Description: partial 16S ribosomal RNA
Rfam family: Bacterial small subunit ribosomal RNA
Source: RNAcentral
UACGAAGGGGGCUAGCGUUGCUCGGAAUUACUGGGCGUAAAGCGCACGUAGGCGGCUUUCUAAGUCGGGGGUGAAAUCCUGGAGCUCAACUCCAGAACUGCCUUCGAUACUGGAGAGCUCGAGUCCGGGAGAGGUGAGUGGAACUGCGAGUGUAGAGGUGAAAUUCGUAGAUAUUCGCAAGAACACCAGUGGCGAAGGCGGCUCACUGACCCGGUACUGACGCUGAGGUGCGAAAGCGUGGGGAGCAAACAGG